GUGAUAGCCCCGUACACGAAAUCCGACUUACAGGACUAAGCUUGCGACAAGUAGGGCGGGACACGUGGAAUCCUGUCUGAAGAUGGGGGGACCAUCCUCCAAGGCUAAAUACUCGUAAUCGACCGAUAGUGAACCAGUACCGUGAGGGAAAGGCGAAAAGAACCCCGGGAGGGGAGUGAAACAGAACCUGAAACCGUGUGCAUACAAACAGUAGGAGCCCGUGCAUGCAUGGGUGACUGCGUACCUUUUGCAUAAUGGGUCAGCGACUUACAUUCAGUGGCGAGGUUAACCGAAUAGGGGAGCCGAAGAGAAAUCGAGUCCGAACAGGGCGCCAGUCGCUGGGUGUAGACCCGAAACCAAGUGAUCUACUCAUGGCCAGGAUGAAGGUGCGGUAACACGCACUGGAGGUCCGAACCCACUAACGUUGAAAAGUUAGGGGAUGAGCUGUGGGUAGGGGUGAAAGGCUAAACAAACUUGGAGAUAGCUGGUUCUCUCCGAAAGCUAUUUAGGUAGUGCCUCAGGUAUCACCACUAGGGGUAGAGCACUGUUAUGGCUAGGGGGUCAUCGCGACUUACCAAACCAUUGCAAACUCCGAAUACUAGUGAGUGCGAGCCUGGGAGACAGACACCGGGUGCUAACGUCCGAUGUCAAGAGGGAAACAACCCAGACCGCCAGCUAAGGUCCCAAAGAUUGGCUAAGUGGAAAACGAAGUGGGAAGGCUAAAACAGUCAGGAGGUUGGCUUAGAAGCAGCCAUCCUUUAAAGAGUGCGUAAUAGCUCACUAGUCGAGUAUCUCUGCGCCGAAAAUGUACCGGGGCUAAACAUAUUACCGAAACUGUGGAUUUAUGCGAUAGCAUAAGUGGUAGGGGAGCGUUCUAAGGGCGACGAAGAUAGAUCGAGAGGACUAUUGGAGCGCUUAGAAGUGAGAAUGCCGGUGUGAGUAACGAAAAUUGGGUGAGAAUCCCAUUCACCGUUUGACUAAGGGUUCCUGGGUAAAGUUCGUCUUCCCAGGGUAAGUCAGGACCUAAGAUGAGGCUGAAAAGCGUAGUCGAUGGACAACAGGUUGAUAUUCCUGUACCACCUAUAUGACUGAAGGAGUGACGGAGAAAGCUAACGAGGGCCAGUUAAUGGAUUCUGGUCUAAGUGCGUAGGCUAGUAUGUUGGCAAAUCCGCAAUACUAUAAUAGCUGAAACAUGAUGGGGAAGUAAGUCUUCGGACGAGCGAACUCUCGUGAUGCUAUGCUUCCAAGAAAAGCUUCUAGGGCUAAUUGUAUAGGUGCCUGUACCGACAACCGACACAGGUGGUCAAGGAGAGUAUCCUAAGGUGAGCGAGAGAACUAUGGUUAAGGAACUCGGCAAAAUGACCCCGUAACUUCGGGAGAAGGGGUGGUCUAGCGAUAGACCCGCAGUGAAUAGGCCCAGGCAACUGUUUACCAAAAACACAGGUCUCUGCUAACACGAAAGUGGAUGUAUAGGGGCUGACGCCUGCCCAGUGCUGGAAGGUUAAAGAGAUUAGUUAGUAUGACGUAAGUCGAUAAUACGAAGCUUUGAACUGAAGCCCCAGUGAACGGCGGCCGUAACUAUAACGGUCCUAAGGUAGCGAAAUUCCUUGUCAGGUAAGUUCUGACCCG
RNAcentral lists this ribosomal RNA (1629 nucleotides) under human gut metagenome. RNAcentral's name for it is "bacterial LSU rRNA". It matches the Rfam family "Bacterial large subunit ribosomal RNA", at positions 364 to 1990 of the family's 2925-position model. The record is from RNAcentral.